UUGACCUCGGAUCAGGUAGGAAUACCCGCUGAACUUAAGCAUAUCAAUAAGGCCG
RNAcentral lists this ribosomal RNA (55 nucleotides) under Monochaetia sp. PSH2004I-1031. RNAcentral describes it as "partial 28S ribosomal RNA". The record is from RNAcentral. Lineage: Eukaryota; Fungi; Ascomycota; Sordariomycetes; Amphisphaeriales; Sporocadaceae.